UCAUAAAAAAAAAUGGAAGGAUUUCGAACAAAUAAAGAUUUAUUCCUUAUUUUACGAAAUGCUAAGAGAGAUAUCGGUGACUAUUUAUAUCUAAAAGAAAAGAUAGAAGAAAGGAUGAAUAUUUCUUCUAAGAAAUCAGAAGAAUUAAAAAUUAAGUUAAGGAAGUUUGCUUCUAAACUCAAGGAGAAAUGGAUAAAGUGUAGUUACAGCAAAACCUACUUCUUCAAACAUCACAACCAGUGGUUAGAAAGAGAUUUCUUGUAUCCAAAUGAAAUCUUAACAGAUACUUUUUCGACAAGUGCUCAAGAACUAAAAUCAUCCAUAGUGACCGUGUAUAAAGUAAAAGGAUCACUUUUGCAAUACAGUAAUAGAGAGCAAAUAAGAAGAGCUCAGUAUCUAAUUAAUCAUUUUACUUCAUCGGAAUUACUGAACGUUGCAGGAAUGAAGCUCAGGAAACGUGGGAUGCAUUCUAAAGCAUGCUUGUUGAAAUAUUUAGCAAAUGACAAAUACAAUAAAAUCAUUGAAAAUUUGAAUAAAAGGAUAUACAGCCAAAGACAAAAGGUAUUGCCCACAAAAGGCAUGAAAUAUUUUCGUGAUGGCAGAACUGUUCCAGUACAUCACAAUAAGGAAUCAAGCAAUAAUACAUAAUAAUAAUAGAAAGUUUGAACAAACCAGACAAUCCAGAUUAAAAAAUUUGGAGAUAUAAGAUGGAUAAGAUGUGUGGAUUAUACAUGGAUAAGAUGUAUGGAAUGUUUACUACACAUCAUACAUCUGUAGUGGAUGCAAAUUUGAAGAAAGAAAAAGAUGAAAACAAAACAAUGUGUAUAGAACGAAUUUAAAGAAAAGAUGAGGUUGGAAUUUGUUAAACGAUGGUACUUUCGAAUAAACACAUUAACAAUUUAUAGCUGAUUAUAUGACAAAUCAUUGCCCUAUACAAAAUACAUAUCGAAGAAUUUUAAAAAUAUAUAAAAGAUACAGCACAAUAUUAUGGGUGGUAUUAUAUGACAAUUUCAGUCCAUAAUUUAUUAAUACAUGAGGCAGAAAUAAUUCAAAAGGCAUUAUUGGGUAGGUUUGUGAGGAGGCUCAGAAAGCCCCAUGCAGAGAUACAAUAAUACACUUUAUAGAACAAUAAUAAAUUAAAUAUUUUUAAAAUAA
Molecule: long non-coding RNA, 1155 nt
Organism: Megalopta genalis
Lineage: Eukaryota; Metazoa; Arthropoda; Insecta; Hymenoptera; Halictidae
Source: RefSeq, a predicted model, not a curated record